AACCUUAUGGACCUGCGGGCGUAUACCUGCGGAGGGAUCAUUAACCUUUCAAAUCAGGGUGCGGCGCGGCCCCCGAGGAGCGGAAACAAUCCUUGGGAGGUAUGCGGGGGCUUCGAGCCCCCCAUUUACGCACGCACGACUGCCAUCCUUACUUUACGAGCACCUUCUGUUCUCCCUCGGCGGGGCAACCUGCCGUUGGAACCGAAUAAACUCUUUUUGCAUCUAGCAUUACCUGCUCCG
This 240-nucleotide unclassified non-coding RNA is filed under the name soil metagenome. RNAcentral's name for it is "partial contains 5.8S ribosomal RNA, internal transcribed spacer 2, and large subunit ribosomal RNA". The record is from RNAcentral.